Molecule: ribosomal RNA, 479 nt
Filed under: Acidithiobacillus ferrooxidans
Lineage: Bacteria; Pseudomonadati; Pseudomonadota; Acidithiobacillia; Acidithiobacillales; Acidithiobacillaceae
Description: bacterial SSU rRNA
Rfam family: Bacterial small subunit ribosomal RNA
Source: RNAcentral
GCUGGCGGCAUGCCUAACACAUGCAAGUCGAACGGUAACAGGUCUUCGGAUGCUGACGAGUGGCGGACGGGUGAGUAAUGCGUAGGAAUCUGUCUUUUAGUGGGGGACAACCCAGGGAAACUUGGGCUAAUACCGCAUGAGCCCUGAGGGGGAAAGCGGGGGAUCUUCGGACCUCGCGCUAAGAGAGGAGCCUACGUCCGAUUAGCUAGUUGGCGGGGUAAAGGCCCACCAAGGCGACGAUCGGUAGCUGGUCUGAGAGGACGACCAGCCACACUGGGACUGAGACACGGCCCAGACUCCUACGGGAGGCAGCAGUGGGGAAUUUUUCGCAAUGGGGGCAACCCUGACGAAGCAAUGCCGCGUGGAUGAAGAAGGCCUUCGGGUUGUAAAGUCCUUUCGUGGAGGACGAAAAGGCGGGUUCUAAUACAAUCUGCUGUUGACGUGAAUCCAAGAAGAAGCACCGGCUAACUCCGUGCCAG